ACGUAGGGUGCGAGCGUUAAUCGGAAUUACUGGGCGUAAAGCGUGCGCAGGCGGUUUUGUAAGACAGGCGUGAAAUCCCCGGGCUCAACCUGGGAAUGGCGCUUGUGACUGCAAGGCUUGAGUAUGGCAGAGGGGGGUAGAAUUCCACGUGUAGCAGUGAAAUGCGUAGAGAUGUGGAGGAAUACCGAUGGCGAAGGCAGCCCCCUGGGUCAAUACUGACGCUCAUGCACGAAAGCGUGGGGAGCAAACAG
RNAcentral lists this ribosomal RNA (251 nucleotides) under uncultured prokaryote. RNAcentral's name for it is "partial 16S rRNA". It matches the Rfam family "Bacterial small subunit ribosomal RNA", at positions 525 to 775 of the family's 1533-position model. The record is from RNAcentral.